RNAcentral lists this ribosomal RNA (253 nucleotides) under uncultured bacterium. Its description in RNAcentral is "partial 16S ribosomal RNA". It matches the Rfam family "Bacterial small subunit ribosomal RNA", at positions 524 to 776 of the family's 1533-position model. The record is from RNAcentral.
UACGAAGGGUGCAAGCGUUAAUCGGAAUUACUGGGCGUAAAGCGCGCGUAGGUGGUUCAGUAAGUUGGAUGUGAAAUCCCCGAGCUUAACUUGGGAAUUGCAUUCGAUACUGGUUGGCUAGAGUAUGGGAGAGGAUGGUAGAAUUCCAGGUGUAGCGGUGAAAUGCGUAGAUAUAGGAAGGAACACCAGUGGCGAAGGCGACCACCUGGACUGAUACUGACACUGAGGUGCGAAAGCGUGGGGAGCAAACAGG